Molecule: unclassified non-coding RNA, 566 nt
Filed under: Desmonostoc danxiaense CHAB5869
Lineage: Bacteria; Bacillati; Cyanobacteriota; Cyanophyceae; Nostocales; Nostocaceae
Description: partial contains 16S-23S ribosomal RNA intergenic spacer and 23S ribosomal RNA
Rfam family: tRNA (bases 282-354)
Source: RNAcentral
UUAGGGAGACCUACCCAACUUUGAAAUCGAGGACACACAGUUAAUAGAUACAAAGAUGGUCAUUCCUAGGUCGGUCGCAGGGACUUGUUGAAGCUUUCAAACUAUGAUUUGGUUCGUUUAUGGGCUAUUAGCUCAGGUGGUUAGAGCGCACCCCUGAUAAGGGUGAGGUCCCUGGUUCGAGUCCAGGAUGGCCCACCUGAAUCAAUGCAAAAUUAAAAAUUCAAAAUUCAAAAUUAAGAAAUUGUUUUUGAAUUUUGCAUUUAGAAUUUUGAAUUGUGUUGGGGGGUUUAGCUCAGUUGGUAGAGCGCCUGCUUUGCAAGCAGGAUGUCAGCGGUUCGAGUCCGCUAACCUCCACCUUGAUAGCGUUAGCUAUAAAAAGAAUGGAUUAGAUUCAGCAACAAGGCUGUGAGCCAGACUGCUGGGUUAGUUAUCCAGCCAGAACCUUGAAAACUGCAUAGGAAUGCGAAGCAGGCAGACACAGACAUUGAUUAUUGGAAGUGUUUGCAAUGAAUAGUGGUCAAGCUAAUAAGAGCUGACGGUGGAUACCUAGGCACACAGAGGCGAAG